CAGUCCUGAGUUUAGACUUUUUAUGGAUACACUUGAGAGAUUCUAGGUUUGGUUUAUUGUGUAGUGCUUAAUUUUUGCAGUGUCCACUAAAAGCUGACUUAGGUUUUGCUGGGAGGUACAAUAUGGCUUCUUAACAGUGGUGGACAUGAUAUUUCCCUAUCUUAUGGAUUACUUUGUCUUCUGGGAAUACUGGUAGGAUCCAAGCAUAAAUACAACUCAUUGGUGAAGUUAGAUACUUUUAUAAUUCUUGCAAAAUUAGGUAGCAAAUUUGCUGCUUUUGUUUCUGUUUCAGGAAUCGUUCUAGUGUAGAUUUUGUGUAGAACUUUUUAAUUUUAAAGCGAAAUAGUAGUAUACACAUUUCAGAGUAGGAGACCUGAAUUUGAACUUGGCUUUUUUUUUUUUUUUUAAGGGUACCAGGGAUUGAACUCAGGGGCACUUGACCACUGAACCACAUCUCCAGCUCUAUUUUGUAUUUUUUUUAGAGACAGGGUCUCACUGAGUUGCUUAGCGUCUCGCAGUUGCUGAGGUUGGCUUUGAACUCGCAAUUCUCCUGUCAGCCUCCCAAGCUGCUGAGAUUACAGUGUACGCCACUGUGCCCGGCUUUAGCUUCUUUUAAACUAACUGGUUUGAGCAAAGUACUUUGGCUUUUGAGGCUUGAUUUGCCUGUCUCUAAAACUGAACCAGUAAUACCUGCUGACCUUUUGCAGAAUUGUCAUGAAGAUUAGGGUAAUGUGGUGUUCUCUCCUCUUACUCCGCUUCAGUGAACACUCAGAUGAAAGGGCAGAUAGUCAAAACUUUGUGAAAGACUUUUUCACAUAGAAGAACAUCCACUUUAUUUUACAUUUAUGUGGUACUGAGGAUUGAACCCAGUGCCUCAUGCAUGCGAGGCGAGCACUCUACCACUGAGCCACAAUCCCAGCCCCGAAUGUC
This 930-nucleotide long non-coding RNA is filed under the name Marmota monax (woodchuck). The record is from RNAcentral. Lineage: Eukaryota; Metazoa; Chordata; Mammalia; Rodentia; Sciuridae.